Molecule: long non-coding RNA, 482 nt
Organism: Amphiprion ocellaris (clown anemonefish)
Lineage: Eukaryota; Metazoa; Chordata; Actinopteri; Pomacentridae
Exons: 2
Source: RefSeq, a predicted model, not a curated record
UAUAAAGGCAAAUUUGAAAUUAAACUUAAUGAAAGUGUUGGACAUGGAAAAAGUUGUUCCUGUUAGUGUUAAUUUUUCUCCAUUAUCAAUGACCCCUGGUGUAAACUUAACCUUUUGAACAACAAAAGGAGUUACUUUUGUUGAGACAAUGUUGUGGCGGAUGUGUUGUCUCUGUCAAAAUUGGUUAAGUUUCUAUGAUUUUUUUUUUUUUUUUUUUUUUUUUUUUGUACUCUGCUGUGUUCCACCUCCUUAGGUCUUCAUGUUUCCUCUUUAUUUAGUUCAAGGAUCCAGUUGCUGGAUGGAUAAAGGUGAAAGUGGGCUGCUUGGGACACCAGAGGUCCCUAGCUGGGCGGAGCCUAUAAUCAUCUAACCUGGAGCACCUGGCCAGUAUACACUGACAACAUGCACCACACAUUAACUACUGCCACCAUACACCCUUACACACACCUCAUGUUUCUCUUAAUAAAUUAGCUUUUGUUGCA